RNAcentral lists this unclassified non-coding RNA (489 nucleotides) under Hevea brasiliensis (rubber tree). Lineage: Eukaryota; Viridiplantae; Streptophyta; Magnoliopsida; Malpighiales; Euphorbiaceae. The record is from RNAcentral.
AAGAUGUCAGGUAUAGUCUGAUACAAUCAUUUUCAUUGAAGUAAAUGCAAAGCGAGCAAAACGUUGCCAUUUCUCUGAAACAGCUAUAUCUUACGAAAAUUCUCAGCUCAAAUACAGUCUAAUUGCUAUGAUGCCUCUCUACAUUCUGGAAAUGAGCAAAUAAAAGAGAAUGUACAAAGGAAAACCUUGUACUCUAUUUAUCAAGUUAUACAGGAGGAGGUGGCAGGUUUAACAAAAGCCAGAAUCCAACACAAUCAUCCGAAUUCAGGUCAUUUUGAAUAGCAAGGAAGUGCAAACCUCCACAGGCUUUCUUUGCUGCUUCCCAAGCUUCAGCUUCACUUGUGGAUGCAGGAUUUUUCUUGUAAGUCGCAUAAAUGUAGCGGGUAGAGAUACCCACCGACAAAAUUAACGAAGCCUUGUCAACAUCAGCUUCAAUCGAACAGACUUCCAAGCCAUUCAUCCAAGCAGCUAAGGGUUUCGCACGUGAGG